Long non-coding RNA from Coccinella septempunctata (seven-spotted ladybird), 336 nucleotides. RefSeq lists it as uncharacterized. NCBI's taxonomy places the organism in Eukaryota, Metazoa, Arthropoda, Insecta, Coleoptera, Coccinellidae. The record is from RefSeq and is a predicted model, not a curated record. The transcript has 2 exons.
CCUGUAAAUUGCGAUGAAAAAUUAAAAAUCUACAUGGUCACAAGUUCACAACAAAUGACCACAGUCUACUAUAGAUAUCUAACAGCUUGGAAGUUGUUAACAUGGCGACGUGGCAGGGACACGUCCAUAUCGCAAAUGAUCUAACACCCCCGCUAAAACAUCUGACCUGCAGCUUCUGGACGAAGAUCUCCCUGAUCUACUAAAUCUUCUGACGUUUCUGAUGGUGGGUAGCCACCCUAACCUUGCCAGGGAACCUAUAUGGCGUUUUCCUGGGCUUGAACGCACCAUGGAAGAACUCCUCGGUGACUCGUACCAUCCAGAUUUGGCAAUCGACCC